Manis pentadactyla (Chinese pangolin) is the source of this 461-nucleotide long non-coding RNA. RefSeq lists it as uncharacterized. Lineage: Eukaryota; Metazoa; Chordata; Mammalia; Pholidota; Manidae. The transcript has 2 exons. The record is from RefSeq and is a predicted model, not a curated record.
UACACAAUGGAAUAUUACGCAGCCAUAAGAAAAAAACAGAUCCUACCAUUCAUAACAACAUGGAUGGAGCUAGAGGGUAUUAUGCACAGUGAAAUAAGCCAGGCAGAGAAAGACAAGUACCAAAUGAUUUCACUCAUAUGUGGAGGAACAAAACAGCAGUAGAAGCACAGAACCCAAGAAUGGACUAAUAGUUACCAAAGGGAAAGGGACUGGGGAGGAUGGGUGGGAAGGGAGGGACAAGGGUGGGAAAAAAAGAAAGGGGCAUUACGAUUAGCAUGUAUAGUGUGGGGGGGCACGGGGAGGGCUGUGCAACACAGAGAAGACAAGUAGUGAUUUUAUAGCAUCUUACUAUGUUGAUGGACAGUGACUGUGAAUGGGGAUGUGGGGGAGACUUGGUGAAGGGGGGAGCCUAGUAAACAUAAUGUCCUUCAUGUAAUUGUAGAUUAAUGAUACCAAAAUAA